This 1773-nucleotide ribosomal RNA is filed under the name Triticum aestivum (bread wheat). Its description in RNAcentral is "partial small subunit ribosomal RNA". The record is from RNAcentral. Lineage: Eukaryota; Viridiplantae; Streptophyta; Magnoliopsida; Poales; Poaceae.
AUGUGUGAUGCUAGCGAUUAUGCAGUAGGUGCUGUGCUAGGGCAAAGAGUUGAUAAGAAAUUAAAUGUUAUUCAAUAUGCUAGUAAAACUCUAGACAGUGCCCAGAGAAAUUAUGCCACUACUGAAAAAGAAUUCUUAGCAGUUGUAUUUGCUUGUGAUAAGUUCAGACCAUAUAUCGUUGAUUCUAAAGUAACUAUUCGCACUGAUCAUGCUGCUAUUAAAUAUCUUAUGGAAAAGAAAGAUGCUAAACCUAGACUUAUUAGAUGGGUUCUCUUGCUACAAGAAUUUAAUUUGCAUAUUAUUGAUAGAAAGGGAGCUGAGAACCCCGUUGCAGACAACUUGUCUAGGUUAGAGAAUGUUCUUGAUGACCCACUACCUAUUGAUGAUAGCUUUUCUGAUGAACAAUUAAAUGUCAUAAAUGCUUCUCGUACUGCUCCAUGGUAUGCUGAUUAUGCUAAUUACAUAGUUGCUAAAUUUAUACCACCUAGUUUCACAUACCAGCAAAAGAAAAAGUUCUUCUAUGAUUUAAGGCAUUACUUUUGGGAUGACCCACAUCUUUAUAAAGGAGUAGAUGGUGUUAUUAGAAGUUGUGUACCUGAGCAUGAACAAGAACAGAUCCUACGCAAGUGUCACUCCGAGGCUUAUGGAGGACACCACGCUGGAGAUAGAACUGCACAUAAGGUAUUGCAAUCCGGUUUUUAUUGGCCUACACUCUUCAAGGACGCCCGUAAGUUUGUCUUAUCUUGUGAUGAAUGUCAGAGAAUAGGUAAUAUUAGUAGACGUCAAGAAAUGCCUAUGAACUAUUCACUUGUUAUUGAACCAUUUGAUGUUUGGGGCAUUGAUUAUAUGGGACCGUUUCCCGCCUCUAAUGGAUAUACACAUAUUUUAGUUGCUGUUGAUUACGUUACUAAGUGGGUAGAAGCUAUUCCAACUAGUAGUGCUGAUCAUAACACCUCUAUUAAGAUGCUUAAAGAAGUCAUAUUUCCGAGGUUUGGAGUCCCUAGAUAUUUAAUGACUGAUGGUGGUUCACACUUUAUUCAUGGUGCUUUCCGUAAAAUGCUUGCUAAGUAUGAUGUUAAUCAUAGAAUUGCAUCUCCUUAUCAUCCACAGUAUAGUGGUCAAGUAGAAUUGAGUAAUAGAGAACUUAAAUUAAUUUUGCAAAAGACUGUUAAUAGAUCUAGAAAGAAUUGGUCCAAGAAACUUGAUGAUGCAUUAUGGGCCUAUAGAACUGCAUACAAAAAUCCUAUGGGUAUGUCUCCUUAUAAAAUGGUUUAUGGAAAAGCAUGUCACUUACCUCUUGAAUUAGAACAUAAGGCAUAUUGGGCUAUUAAGGAGCUCAACUAUGAUUUCAAACUUGCCAGCGAGAAGAGGUUAUUUGACAUUAGCUCACUUGAUGAAUGGAGAACCCAAGCUUACAAAAAUGCCAAGUUGUUUAAAGAAAAAGUUAAAAGAUGGCAUGAUAAAAGAAUACAAAAGCGUGAGUUUAAUGCAGGUGAUUAUGUAUUAUUAUACAACUCUCAUUUAAGAUUUUUUGUAGGAAAACUUCUCUCUAAAUGGGAAGGUCCUUACGUUAUCGAAGAGGUCUAUCGUUCCAGUGCCAUAAAAAUCAACAAGUUCAAAGGCACAAAUCUGAAGGUGGUGAACGGUCAAAGAAUCAAACAUUAUAUCUCAGGUAAUCCUAUAAAUGUUGAAACUAAUAUUAUAGAAACCGUAACCCCGGAGGAAUACAUAAGGGACACUGUCCAGAACAUUUCAGACUCUGAAAAGGAAUAG